RNAcentral lists this ribosomal RNA (239 nucleotides) under uncultured bacterium. RNAcentral's name for it is "partial 16S ribosomal RNA". It matches the Rfam family "Bacterial small subunit ribosomal RNA", at positions 95 to 334 of the family's 1533-position model. The record is from RNAcentral.
CGGGCGGACGGGUGAGUAACGCGUGGGUAACCUGCCUCAUACAGGGGGAUAACAGUUGGAAACGACUGCUAAUACCGCAUAAGCGCACAGUACCGCAUGGUACAGUGUGAAAAACUCUGGUGGUAUGAGAUGGACCCGCGUCUGAUUAGCUAGUUGGUGGGGUAACGGCCUACCAAGGCGACGAUCAGUAGCCGACCUGAGAGGGUGACCGGCCACAUUGGGACUGAGACACGGCCCAA